This 336-nucleotide unclassified non-coding RNA is filed under the name Hevea brasiliensis (rubber tree). Lineage: Eukaryota; Viridiplantae; Streptophyta; Magnoliopsida; Malpighiales; Euphorbiaceae. The record is from RNAcentral.
GCGGAGCUUGGCACUAAACAUGAGGGUUUCUUCCACUGUGAGGAGAGGAAAGAGGGUAUCUCUCUGUGUUACAUAGCCUGAUAUCUUCUUGAACUGAGCUCUAUCGACAGGAUUUUGAUUGACAAAAAUGGAACCAUUUUGUGGGGUAAGUUUUCCGGCUAGGACUUCAAGCAAGGAUGAUUUUCCAGCUCCACUUGGACCAACAACGGCGAGGAUUUCCCAUGGCUUGGCUUUGCAAUAUACGCCUUUGAGAACAUGCUUUUCUUGAAGAUUCGGUUCGAGUUCUUGAUCAAUUUGUUGAUCUUUGUUGAAGAUUUUAAAAGGGUAGUUUCUUUU